UCAUUUUUUUGGUUUACCGCUUGGCCUUUCCCAUCAGCCUGCCGUUGAACAGUGAGGAAGGAGAAGGAGAAGGAGAAGAGAGGAUGAUGGAAGAGGAAGGACGAUUUUCGUCACCCACCCUAGAUAGGGUUAGGUGAGAACAAGAAGGAGGACAGGAGAAAGUUGAAGGAGAAGAGGGGAGAUUUCGUCAUCGAAUGGUUUGAUCGGCGUCGGAUCACGUCAGAUCUGUGCAAGAGGGUCGGUAAUGACAGAAUCAAUCGUGCUGCAGGUUCAUUCCUUUACGCAAUUUCUCUCUUUCCCAAUAAAUCCCACAGUUAUCCUAUUCAAAUGAUGUCAUGUUUCUCAGAGUUAUGGCUUUCUCCCUUUUGUUUCUCUAUAAAUAUUGCCUUUGCUUUGCUUCUUCUUCCAUUCUGCAACAUUGCCCUAUCCUAAUUCUUCUUUAAUUUUACGUGGUGGCUCCGAGGCCGACGCGGAGGAGAUGGUUGCAAUGGCGAUUGAACCUCGCGGUGCUCUGGUGCGGAGGCGAGAGGUGUGCUUUGUUCGGAUUUUUGUUUUAUGUAGGUGGUUUGUUGUUUGUUUUCCUAGGAUGAUUCUUAAAUUUGCUUAGCUUGAGCACAGGCAAGUUCUUUUUAAGAUGGCUGUCAGUUUUUGUUUUCUGACAUCAUUGCACUCCUCAAGUUCAACAAGGUCACUGAUUUUGCUGCUAUCUAUCUUCGCUUGCUGGAACCAUUCAAGGCAUGCAUCUCUAACCUAUAAUUGAACAUAGAACACUUUAAGUUCAUCCUUCUACAGGCUACAAGUCAAUUCAGCCACCGAAGUUGCAUUAAAAUCUUAGAAUGGUGGCUAUGAUGGAUUAUAUUUUUUACAAUUCUAUUGGUUUAUACACAACUUCUAUUAUAUUUUUCAGUCAAUAUUUUCACUGAAAGGUUUCUGCUACAUGGGCACAGAUGAUAUAAGUCAUGAGCUAAUUGAUGUUGCACUUUUGUUAA
Long non-coding RNA from Lotus japonicus, 989 nucleotides. RefSeq lists it as uncharacterized. The record is from RefSeq and is a predicted model, not a curated record. NCBI's taxonomy places the organism in Eukaryota, Viridiplantae, Streptophyta, Magnoliopsida, Fabales, Fabaceae. The transcript has 3 exons.